UCCUUUCAAAAUGGCGCCGGCAGAACCGAAUAUGACGUCAGCGGCCGAGGCGGGGGAAGACUGCUGCUUCUCAAAUUUCCAUGCGGUAUUUUGAGUCCCACCCAUCUAUUGAUCAAAGCAUCUGAGCCAAGAUGGAAAGAAAACGUCCACUCUUUCAGGAACUAACUGCUUACUGGCAUUCUGUUCUUACAGUAUUACCUUUCUUGGAUACAGAAGAAGCUAGGUUUAAAGACAGUUCUAUUACAUUGAGUUUGCUGCUUCAGUUAGCAGAGACCAUUCAUGUUCUAUCUUCAAGACUGUACUUUGCUGCCAUCUAUGGAAAAUUGGAAAACCUUUGUGACUGAAUGUCUGAUGGCCAAUGCAU
Thamnophis sirtalis is the source of this 364-nucleotide non-coding RNA. The record is from RefSeq and is a predicted model, not a curated record. NCBI's taxonomy places the organism in Eukaryota, Metazoa, Chordata, Lepidosauria, Squamata, Natricidae.